GAGCCUGUAGCUCAGUCUGGAUUAGAGCGACUGGCUUCGGACCAGUAGGUCGGGAGUUCGAAUCUCCCCGGGCUCA
This 76-nucleotide transfer RNA is filed under the name Candidatus Aenigmatarchaeota archaeon. RNAcentral's name for it is "tRNA-Arg". It matches the Rfam family "tRNA". Rfam says of the family: Transfer RNA (tRNA) molecules are approximately 80 nucleotides in length. Their secondary structure includes four short double-helical elements and three loops (D, anti-codon, and T loops). The record is from RNAcentral. RNAcentral also lists the same sequence under 1 other name. Lineage: Archaea; Nanobdellati; Candidatus Aenigmatarchaeota.